RNAcentral lists this ribosomal RNA (253 nucleotides) under uncultured bacterium. RNAcentral describes it as "partial 16S ribosomal RNA". It matches the Rfam family "Bacterial small subunit ribosomal RNA", at positions 524 to 776 of the family's 1533-position model. The record is from RNAcentral.
UACAGAGGUGCCAAGCGUUGUUCGGAUUUAUUGGGCGUAAAGGGUGCGUAGGCGGUCAUGUAAGUCGGGUGUGAAAUACCGGAGCCUAACUCCGGAACGGCAUUCGAAACUACAUGGCUCGAGAUCUGGAGAGGUGACUGGAAUUCUCGGUGUAGCAGUGAAAUGCGUAGAUAUCGAGAGGAACACCAGAGGCGAAGGCGAGUCACUGGACAGAAUCUGACGCUGAAGCACGAAAGCUAGGGGAGCAAACGGG